This 601-nucleotide unclassified non-coding RNA is filed under the name Hevea brasiliensis (rubber tree). The record is from RNAcentral. Lineage: Eukaryota; Viridiplantae; Streptophyta; Magnoliopsida; Malpighiales; Euphorbiaceae.
UCUCUCUGUGUGUCGCUGUGCAAAUGACAUAGCACAUAAUUCUGUUUUCCAACACUUAUUGAUUAUCGUUUUGCUUAUCUUUCAUUUAAGAGAUUAUUAACAAAUGGCACCGAGCUCCGUUGUUGUUACAAUGGAGAAUACUAAAAACAUUUCAUUAGUUGAAGUCAAUGAUUUGGAUUCACCAGCUUUUAGGGAUAAAAACAAGGCUGCAAAUCCCAAGAGAUUUACUAAAGUGUUGUUACUGAAAGCCCAGAGGACACUUGGCUGUAUCCCAAAAACAUUUGCAUCUGUUAAGAAACGGAUUGCUUUAUCAGAUGAAGAGCCAAAAUACAGGGGGAAGUUGUACAGAUUUAUUAGAGCUUUUCUUGCUAUAUCAGUGGUGGCUUUGUGUAUUGAGAUUUUUGCUUAUUUUAAUAAGUGGGAAUUGAAUCUGGUGAAUCCUUGGGAGGUGCAAAGUAUUUUGCAAUGGACUUAUAUGGCUUGGAUUUCAUUUAGAGCUGAUUAUAUUGCUCCUUCCCUUUCAAAACUUACUACAUUUUGUAUUGUGCUUUUCCUUAUUCAAUCCAUAGAUCGACUUGUUCUUUGUCUGGGAUGUUUCUGG